RNAcentral lists this ribosomal RNA (586 nucleotides) under uncultured bacterium. RNAcentral describes it as "bacterial SSU rRNA". It matches the Rfam family "Bacterial small subunit ribosomal RNA", at positions 338 to 916 of the family's 1533-position model. The record is from RNAcentral.
CCUACGGGAGGCAGCAGUGGGGAAUAUUGCGCAAUGGGGGAAACCCUGACGCAGCAACGCCGCGUGAGUGAGGAAGGACUUCGGUCUGUAAAGCUCUGUUAAUGUGGAAAAAUGGUAGCUGGUCUAAUAGGCCGGCUAUUUGAUGGUACACAUAGAGGAAGCACCGGCUAACUUCGUGCCAGCAGCCGCGGUAAUACGAAGGGUGCAAGCGUUGUUCGGAUUUAUUGGGCGUAAAGCGCGCGUAGGCGGACCUGUAAGUCAGAUGUGAAAUCUCGGGGCUCAACCUCGAAACUGCGUCUGAAACUGCAGGUCUAGAAUCUUGGAGGGGGAAGGGGAAUUUCGCAUGUAGGGGUAAAAUCCGUAGAUAUGCGAAGGAACACCAGAGGCGAAGGCGCCUUCCUGGACAAGUAUUGACGCUGAGGCGCGAAAGCGUGGGGAUCAAACAGGAUUAGAUACCCUGGUAGUCCACGCUGUAAACGAUGAAUACUAGGUAUUGGAGGAUUUGACCCCUACAGUGCCGUAGCUAACGCGUUAAGAUUCCGCCUGGGAAGUACGGUCGCAAGACUAAAACUCAAAGGAUUGACGG